AUUGAACGCUGGCGGAAUGCUUUACACAUGCAAGUCGAACGAUGAACCUUAGCUUGCUAAGGGGAUUAGUGGCGAACGGGUGAGUAAUAUAUCGGAACGUGCCUUGUAAUGGGGGAUAACUAGUCGAAAGAUUAGCUAAUACCGCAUACGCCCUGAGGGGGAAAGUAGGGGAUCUUCGGACCUUACGUUAUAAGAGCGGCCGAUAUCUGAUUAGCUAGUUGGUGGGGUAAUGGCCUACCAAGGCGACGAUCAGUAGCUGGUCUGAGAGGACGACCAGCCAACCUGGAAAGUGAGCCACGUCCAACAGUCCUACGGGUGGCGCAAGGGGGGAUUUUUGGACAAGGGGGCCAACCCGUACCCACCCUUCCCGGGUGAUGAAAAAGGCCCUCGGGUUUGUAACGCUCUUUCACAAGGAAAAAAAACUACCCACCGAAAAAGUGGUGAGGCUCAGGGUCCUUUGUAAAGAAGCCCCGGCUAACUACGGC
Molecule: ribosomal RNA, 485 nt
Filed under: uncultured bacterium
Lineage: Bacteria
Description: partial 16S ribosomal RNA
Rfam family: Bacterial small subunit ribosomal RNA
Source: RNAcentral